This is a non-coding RNA of Malus domestica (apple), 870 nucleotides long. Lineage: Eukaryota; Viridiplantae; Streptophyta; Magnoliopsida; Rosales; Rosaceae. The record is from RefSeq and is a predicted model, not a curated record.
CCACACUCAAACUCUCCCCUUCUGCCGCAUGUCCCUCUCUCUACACUCUCGGACUCUUUUGGACUCUCUUUCCCUGAGCUCCCUCUCGCCUCUCUUUGUGUAAAUGCAAAGCAACCACGCCACCAGCACACUCGCCAUACCGGCGAACUCUGUCAUCAUCUAAACACCAUACAGCCACCCCUUUUUCUCUCCUUCAAGUUUGUUUCUCUCCCUUUCUCGACUUUUUCUUUUUUCGAUCCACCAGAAGACACUAACGGUGGUUUCACCGUCGUUUUCGGAGCCAGACCACCAACCUGCACCACCUCGUCCCUCUCCUCAAUUUAAACUAGAAAAGCAUGAACGAGGCUUCAACCUCGAAGCCAUACUGUGGAAACUCGAGCCCAAUUCCGAGAUUCGAUUUUUCGGCAAACUUCUCGAUUUUUCGACUAAGAUUGAAUACAAAGAUACCUCAGGGAAACACUCCCCAGUUUUCCGAUGGUGGACCCGCGAAUUUCAGGUGGUUUUCAGGCCAUUUUUCAGCCAUGGCUUGGCCUAUAAAGGUAUAAUUAUUUUCCUUGUUCUCUGCGCUUCGUUUUGAUAUAAAGUUUGUACACUUUUGUGGAGUUUGGAGGUUGAUCGGAGCCGGGAUUUUUUCGACCUUCUCUUACACAACAACCGGCCAACCCACGAUCAAAUCGGGUCAACCCGACCCGCAACCCAAAGCCAGAUCCAAACCUGAUCCGCAAACCAACCCAAAACGGAAUCCGACCGACCUAUUUCUGAAUCCGACUAGCAUAUUCUCUGGAAUAAUCCGUUUACUUCCAAUUAACUUUAAUCAAAUAUCUUGUAUAAUGAUGGAAUAUUUCGUUAAAGUUGACUGUUGAUCCUUAA